GAUGAAGAACGUAGUGAAAUGCGAUAAGUAAUGUGAAUUGCAGAAUUCAGUGAAUCAUCGAAUCUUUGAACGCACAUUGCGCCCCUCGGUAUUCCGUGGGGCAUGCCUGUUCGAGCGUCAUUUACCCCUCAAGCACUGCUUGGUGUUGGGCGUCUGUCCCGCUUCGCGCGCGGACUCGCCCCAAAGGUAUUGGCAGCGGUCGUGCCAGCUUCUCGCGCAGCACAUUGCGCUUCUCGAGGCGGUCGAUCGGCGUCCACGAAGCUCACCUCCACCGUUUGACCUCGGAUCAGGUAGGGAUACCCGCUGAACUUAAGCAUAUCAAUAAGCGGAGGA
RNAcentral lists this unclassified non-coding RNA (333 nucleotides) under soil metagenome. RNAcentral's name for it is "partial contains 5.8S ribosomal RNA, internal transcribed spacer 2, and large subunit ribosomal RNA". The stretch from base 1 to 120 matches the Rfam family "5.8S ribosomal RNA", at positions 35 to 154 of the family's 154-position model. The record is from RNAcentral.